Molecule: non-coding RNA, 31 nt
Filed under: Homo sapiens (human)
Lineage: Eukaryota; Metazoa; Chordata; Mammalia; Primates; Hominidae
Source: RNAcentral
GCCCUUAACAUUUUCCCACUUGUCAGAGUUC